CGGCGUGCUUAACACAUGCAAGUCGAACGAACCUAGCAAUAGGUUAGUGGCGCACGGGUGCGUAACGCGUAAGAAACCUGCCUCAAAGCCGGGGAUACCCAGUCGAAAGACUGGUUAAUACCGGAUAUUAUUAUGAGACUGCAUAGUUUUAUAAUGAAAGACUUCGGUCGCUUUGAGAUGGUCUUGCGUCUGAUUAGGUAGUUGGUAGGGUAACGGCCUACCAAGCCAACGAUCAGUAGCUGGUCUGAGAGGAUGAUCAGCCACACUGGAACUGAGACACGGUCCAGACUCCUACGGGGAGGCAGCAGUGAGGAAUAUUGCGCAAUGGACGAAAGUCUGACGCAGCAACGCCGCGUGUGGGAUGAAGGCCCUCUGGGUCGUAAACCACUGUUGGGAGGGAAGAACGUUCGGGGCAUGGCCCUGAAGUG
This 428-nucleotide ribosomal RNA is filed under the name uncultured bacterium. RNAcentral describes it as "bacterial SSU rRNA". It matches the Rfam family "Bacterial small subunit ribosomal RNA", at positions 40 to 471 of the family's 1533-position model. The record is from RNAcentral.